Molecule: long non-coding RNA, 691 nt
Organism: Anastrepha ludens (Mexican fruit fly)
Lineage: Eukaryota; Metazoa; Arthropoda; Insecta; Diptera; Tephritidae
Exons: 3
Source: RefSeq, a predicted model, not a curated record
UUAAAUACCAAAAUGAACGAAUAAUGCAUAAAAGAACAGCAAAAAGACAUUAGCUGUUAAAUUCCACUCGAAUUUUUUUUUCAAUUAUAUUUGCACAAGAUAUAUAGCUUUAGGAUAACAUCGACAACUCCUAAAAGAACCCGCGCUACAGUCGAACCACUCUAUCAAACAUUUCUUUUGCCGCUUGCCGCUCCACUUGGGUCAUAGGAAACCCCAUCCUUUGCGCAAAACGUGAAAAGGUUGAUUCCUUCAGUAUUAAAAUUAGUCGGCAUGAAAUGAUAAGGUCAAAAUGACCCCUGGCUCCCGGACUAUACGGUUAACGGGCAACUGGUUCAUGCAUAUUCCCCAUUGCUCACCUACGAGCCGCUGACAACAUCGCAAUGCAGCUAGCCAUCGAAAGCGCUGUUAUUCUGGAACCUCAAAAAUUACUAUCAAGCUGAGAAAUUAGGUCCUCAGUCAAGUCUGAAGUUAACCGGAAUAGUUUUUAAAAUUUUCCUGUAGCCAAAUGGAAAGGAUUGUCCACAUCCUGGAGCACACAUCGAACCACUAUUUGAGGAUUCAACGCCUCUCCAGCCAUAAGCUAAAUACUCAAAGGACAUAUUCGCGUUUUUUAUUAAGUUUUUUUGUAAAGUGUGUAUUUUUUACAUGAUUACAUAAUGUUAUGAAUGUAAUUUCAAAAUUUUAAUUUAAA